ACUAAUUUGCUACGUAUUCUUCCAGAGUCAAUAUGUGCUUUUUAAUUUUUGCUACCCAUUUUCAUCAUGCGGCUGUGUGUCCCCAAGAUGAUGUAAAAUACCCAGGAAAUCGUUACUCCUGGGGUCAAGUAAUAACCAAAUGGGUGAAGACUUGGGAGGUAUUUCAUGGACUGGAAUGGCAAUGAUGUCGCUUUUCACUUUUCCUUAGAAAAUGAAGACCUAAGAGUUGGGAAAGAUAGAGUAAAAGCAGUGUUAGAAAAACUCACUUGCUGUAGGCCCUGGACCAUUUGAGAAUAGUAGUAAUUCUCAUCAGAGACUGGGCAAUCCUUCUGAAGGAAAGGAGCUUAACCUGUUCAUCUUUCUCCCAAUAGAUUCCUAUGAAAAGCAACAG
RNAcentral lists this long non-coding RNA (391 nucleotides) under Bos taurus (domestic cattle). Its description in RNAcentral is "long non-coding RNA NONBTAT002808". The record is from RNAcentral. Lineage: Eukaryota; Metazoa; Chordata; Mammalia; Artiodactyla; Bovidae.